Molecule: ribosomal RNA, 401 nt
Filed under: uncultured bacterium
Lineage: Bacteria
Description: bacterial SSU rRNA
Rfam family: Bacterial small subunit ribosomal RNA
Source: RNAcentral
GUGGGGAAUAUUGGACAAUGGGCGCAAGCCUGAUCCAGCCAUGCCGCGUGAGUGAUGAAGGCCCUAGGGUUGUAAAGCUCUUUCACCGGUGAAGAUAAUGACGGUAACCGGAGAAGAAGCCCCGGCUAACUUAGUGCCAGCAGCCGCGGUAAUACGAAGGGGGCUAGCGUUGUUCGGAAUUACUGGGCGUAAAGCGCACGUAGGCGGAUUGUUAAGUUAGGGGUGAAAUCCCAGGGCUCAACCCUGGAACUGCCUUUAAUACUGGCAAUCUCGAGUCCGAGAGAGGUGAGUGGAAUUCCGAGUGUAGAGGUGAAAUUCGUAGAUAUUCGGAGGAACACCAGUGGCGAAGGCGGCUCACUGGCUCGGUACUGACGCUGAGGUGCGAAAGCGUGGGGAGCAAA